UGAUAGUGCAGCCCAAAGUAGGUGGUAAACUCCAUGUUAGGGCUAUAGUGCAGCAAGAGACAGGUAGCGAACUAAGUACCGUGAGUAAAUAUUGAAAAGAGACUUUAAAGCGAGCGUUCAAUAGUACGUGAAGUUGCUCAGGGGUAAACGGAGAGAGACCAACAUAUUCGAAAGAGGAGAUCAGGGUCUCGGGUAGAACUCAGCUUUGAGCUGUAUUGAGAUGUUCUUUCGCCCUAUCGGGUAUUUUACUAUGAGUGGGGUUUUGGUCGAGAGCGGUUAAUUUUUGUCGAGAGUAAUGGUGUACCGCCAUUUUCUUUUAGUGGGACUUUGCCACGUGUUAAAUGAUGCUCUAAGUAUAAUUAAAAUGCCUGUUUUUUAAGUUUUACUGUAAAAAGUAUGCUUUUUUUAAAACAGUUUUAAUUAAUUAUAUACCGAGUAUUAUAAAUUUAACAGUAACAAAUGAUGGUGUUGAGCCACUUAAUUAAUAAGUGUGUUUGUCUUUUUACAAGUGUGUAGAUUUAUUGUGCUGUUCGGACUUUAUCGUCCGUCUUAUGAUGUCUCAUACUGUUCUAAAUUUUUAGACUUGCACAGUGCUUACAACACUGUCAGCAGCGAUCUA
This 619-nucleotide ribosomal RNA is filed under the name Irantha armipes. RNAcentral describes it as "eukaryotic LSU rRNA". The record is from RNAcentral. Lineage: Eukaryota; Metazoa; Arthropoda; Insecta; Hemiptera; Reduviidae.